RNAcentral lists this ribosomal RNA (252 nucleotides) under uncultured bacterium. RNAcentral describes it as "partial 16S ribosomal RNA". It matches the Rfam family "Bacterial small subunit ribosomal RNA", at positions 525 to 776 of the family's 1533-position model. The record is from RNAcentral.
ACAUAGGGUGCAAGCGUUGUCCGGAUUUAUUGGGCGUAAAGAGUUCGUAGGCGGUUUUUCGCGUCGGAUGUGAAAACUCAGGGCUCAACCCUGAGCCUGCAUUCGAUACGGGAAGACUCGAGGACGGCAGGGGAGACUGGAACUUCUGGUGUAGCGGUGGAAUGCGCAGAUAUCAGAAAGAACACCAAUGGCGAAGGCAGGUCUCUGGGCCGAUCCUGACGCUGAGGAACGAAAGCGUGGGGAGCAAACAGG